CGCUUUUUUUGCGCAGGCGGAGCUGGACCGUCGCAUCAAGAGCUAAUUGACUUUGUAGACCAGUAUCGCGAUGCCUAUGGGGUCGAGCCAAUUUGUAGGCUGCUGCAAAUUGCCCCA
Comamonas aquatica DA1877 is the source of this 117-nucleotide regulatory RNA element. It matches the Rfam family "ALIL pseudoknot". The record is from Rfam. Lineage: Bacteria; Pseudomonadati; Pseudomonadota; Betaproteobacteria; Burkholderiales; Comamonadaceae.